RNAcentral lists this ribosomal RNA (1344 nucleotides) under uncultured bacterium. RNAcentral's name for it is "bacterial SSU rRNA". It matches the Rfam family "Bacterial small subunit ribosomal RNA", at positions 48 to 1387 of the family's 1533-position model. The record is from RNAcentral.
AAAACACAUGCAAGUCGAGGGGCAGCAUGGUCUUAGCUUGCUAAGGCCGAUGGCGACCGGCGCACGGGUGAGUAACACGUAUCCAACCUGCCGUCUACUCUUGGACAGCCUUCUGAAAGGAAGAUUAAUACAAGAUGGCAUCAUGAGUCCGCAUGUUCACAUGAUUAAAGGUAUUCCGGUAGACGAUGGGGAUGCGUUCCAUUAGAUAGUAGGCGGGGUAACGGCCCACCUAGUCUUCGAUGGAUAGGGGUUCUGAGAGGAAGGUCCCCCACAUUGGAACUGAGACACGGUCCAAACUCCUACGGGAGGCGGCAGUGAGGAAUAUUGGUCAAUGGGCGAGAGCCUGAACCAGCCAAGUAGCGUGAAGGAUGACUGCCCUAUGGGUUGUAAACUUCUUUUAUAAAGGAAUAAAGUCGGGUAUGCAUACCCGUUUGCAUGUACUUUAUGAAUAAGGAUCGGCUAACUCCGUGCCAGCAGCCGCGGUAAUACGGAGGAUCCGAGCGUUAUCCGGAUUUAUUGGGUUUAAAGGGAGCGUAGAUGGAUGUUUAAGUCAGUUGUGAAAGUUUGCGGCUCAACCGUAAAAUUGCAGUUGAUACUGGAUAUCUUGAGUGCAGUUGAGGCAGGCGGAAUUCGUGGUGUAGCGGUGAAAUGCUUAGAUAUCACGAAGAACUCCGAUUGCGAAGGCAGCCUGCUAAGCUGCAACUGACAUUGAGGCUCGAAAGUGUGGGUAUCAAACAGGAUUAGAUACCCUGGUAGUCCACACGGUAAACGAUGAAUACUCGCUGUUUGCGAUAUACAGCAAGCGGCCAAGCGAAAGCGUUAAGUAUUCCACCUGGGGAGUACGCCGGCAACGGUGAAACUCAAAGGAAUUGACGGGGGCCCGCACAAGCGGAGGAACAUGUGGUUUAAUUCGAUGAUACGCGAGGAACCUUACCCGGGCUUAAAUUGCAGGUGAAUUACGGUGAAAGCCGUAAGCCGCAAGGCAUCUGUGAAGGUGCUGCAUGGUUGUCGUCAGCUCGUGCCGUGAGGUGUCGGCUUAAGUGCCAUAACGAGCGCAACCCUUGUUGUCAGUUACUAACAGGUUCUGCUGAGGACUCUGACAAGACUGCCAUCGUAAGAUGUGAGGAAGGUGGGGAUGACGUCAAAUCAGCACGGCCCUUACGUCCGGGGCUACACACGUGUUACAAUGGGGGGUACAGAGGGUCGCUACCACGCGAGUGGAUGCCAAUCCCAAAAACCUCUCUCAGUUCGGACUGGAGUCUGCAACCCGACUCCACGAAGCUGGAUUCGCUAGUAAUCGCGCAUCAGCCACGGCGCGGUGAAUACGUUCCCGGGCCUUGCACA